CCUACGGGAGGCAGCAGUGGGGAAUAUUGGACAAUGGGCGAAAGCCUGAUCCAGCAAUGCCGCGUGAGUGAUGAAGGCCUUAGGGUUGUAAAGCUCUUUUACCAGGGAUGAUAAUGACAGUACCUGGAGAAUAAGCUCCGGCUAACUCCGUGCCAGCAGCCGCGGUAAUACGGAGGGAGCUAGCGUUGUUCGGAAUUACUGGGCGUAAAGCGUACGUAGGCGGUUAUUCAAGUCAGAGGUGAAAGCCUGGAGCUCAACUCCAGAACUGCCUUUGAAACUAGAUAACUAGAAUCACGGAGAGGUGAGUGGAAUUCCGAGUGUAGAGGUGAAAUUCGUAGAUAUUCGGAAGAACACCAGUGGCGAAGGCGGCUCACUGGACGUGUAUUGACGCUGAGGUACGAAAGCGUGGGGAGCAAACAGGAUUAGAUACCCUGGUAGUCCACGCCGUAAACGAUGAUAACUAGCUGCCAGGGCUCUUAGAGCUUUGGUGGCGCAGCUAACGCAUUAAGUUAUCCGCCUAGGGAGUACGGUCGCAAGAUUAAAACUCAAAUGAAUUGACGG
This 561-nucleotide ribosomal RNA is filed under the name uncultured bacterium. Its description in RNAcentral is "bacterial SSU rRNA". It matches the Rfam family "Bacterial small subunit ribosomal RNA", at positions 338 to 916 of the family's 1533-position model. The record is from RNAcentral.